Molecule: ribosomal RNA, 464 nt
Filed under: uncultured bacterium
Lineage: Bacteria
Description: partial 16S ribosomal RNA
Rfam family: Bacterial small subunit ribosomal RNA
Source: RNAcentral
ACGAACGCUGGCGGCGUGCUUAACACAUGCAAGUCGCACGGAAAGGCCCUGCUUGCCGGGUACUCGAGUGGCGAACGGGUGAGUAACACGUGGGUGAUCUGCCCUGCACUUCGGGAUAAGCCUGGGAAACUGGGUCUAAUACCGGAUAGGAGCCAUUUUUAUUGUGAUGGUUGGAAAGUUUUUUCGGUGUAGGAUGAGCUCGCGGCCUAUCAGCUUGUUGGUGGGGUAAUGGCCUACCAAGGCGGCGACGGGUAGCCGGCCUGAGAGGGUGGACGGCCACAUUGGGACUGAGAGAAGGCCCAGACUCCUACGGGAGGAAGCAGUGGGGAAUAUUGCACAAUGGGCGCAAGCCUGAUGCAGCGACGCCGCGUGGGGGAUGACGGCCUUCGGGUUGUAAACUCCUUUCGCUAGGGACGAAGCUUUUUGUGACGGUACCUAGAUAAGAAGCACCGGCUAACUACGUG